AUGCAGCUGCAGCCCAGCACAGUGGAGCUAAGCGCCAAUCCCAGCAGUGUCCAUGGCUCGGAGCUGUGGGAGAGCGUCGGCAAGAUGUACUUCCAGGAGGAAGGCCACAUGCUUCGUUCAGGAGGGAAGGGAGACGGAUGUUCAGCCACCAGCCACCAGCACUGUGGUCAUCAUAGGGUGCAGGAGAGCCCCGGCUCUGGGUACAGGUGUUGCCCAGAGCAUCAGCCCCUCACCCCACAUUUCAGCCACAGCUCUGAACUUCCUGCAGGAUGCAGGCCGUCCAAGAACCUACGUGCUGGCUGUCCCAUGGAGCUGGGCCUUGGCAUCAGAAGUUUUAAUGCAUCUAAUGAAGUGACACUUCGGAAAGCUGACUGAUUGUGUGCUGCAGUGCACACUAGGGUGAGGGGAGGGAAUAAUUCAGCAGCCACAACCCCACUGGCACGAGGCUUGGUACACGUCUUGGAGAAAAUGUGGGACAGAAGAGCAUCAAAAGAUACCAUCGUGCAGGUGGGCUUACUGAAGGUGCAUCAUCUCUCAUCAAUGCAUCAUUUCACAUCGAUGUAUCAUUAUCCAAGGAUAUCCAAGGAGUAUUAUGCCAAGGAGAGCCUUGGUAGUGUAACUGCUUUCUCUAAGUGAAGUAGAUUAAUGUGACUGAAUUUCUGUGAAAUGUUUAAUAACGCAUCGAAGAGGAGAUAGUCUAUUGAAAUGGAUUAAUGUAGGAUGUUGCAAAUUGACUAAGAAAUUCGGAGUAUGGGAGACAGAAGGAAGCAUUGGGCAGGGAUGGCUGGCGAGCACAGAGCCCCCUGGGGCCAUGCCCUUCAUGCAGGGCAGCAUGGCCUCCCAUCACUUAUCCCAACCUCCUGUUCCUCCCUGGGGAUCCUGCAGGAACGGACAUUUCUUUGAAAUGCUUAGUCUACUUCUACAAACAGUUCUGGCUCAUGUUCAGGGCUGAAAAGCAAAACAAAGAAAAGAUUUGUAUUCAGAAAUUGCAGCAUCUUGGAAAACAGUUGGCUGGAGUUCAGCUCUGCAGAUGAGCAAAAGAUGCACUGCUCUCCCAGAGCGGGCUCAUCCAUCCUUGCCCUGAACUUCACCACUGCUAUGGAUUGCAAGGGGGAAGAUUUCCAGAUUUGAAGUUGUUUCUCCCUUUAUCUCUUGUUUUGGAUGCUCUGAAAGGGGAAGGGGAGGGACCUUUUGUGACAUAAUCCGGUGCAUUUACCUGCCCUUUUCUCUGAGACAAGCUGUGUUACUCUGCAUUUUAUAUUAAUUCCUCUCUCUUAAAAAUCAAAAUGGAAGACAGAUUUUGUGAUUUAAGGUGUAACAACGACUCGUUACUUUACAUACCUAUAACAGGCAUUUGCAUUUUCAGAUCAAGUGA
RNAcentral lists this long non-coding RNA (1375 nucleotides) under Numida meleagris (helmeted guineafowl). RNAcentral's name for it is "lncRNA (ENSNMEG00000020003.1)". Lineage: Eukaryota; Metazoa; Chordata; Aves; Galliformes; Numididae. The record is from RNAcentral.